Molecule: ribosomal RNA, 503 nt
Filed under: uncultured Caldilinea sp.
Lineage: Bacteria; Bacillati; Chloroflexota; Caldilineae; Caldilineales; Caldilineaceae
Description: partial 16S ribosomal RNA
Rfam family: Bacterial small subunit ribosomal RNA
Source: RNAcentral
CGCCCUUGAGUUUGAUCAUGGCUCAGGAUGAACGCUAGCGGCGUGCCUAACACAUGCAAGUCGAACGUGAGAGGGUACUUGUAUCCUUGAAAGUGGCGGACGGGUGAGUAAGACGUAGGUGACCUGCCUCGGAGUGGGGGAUAACCAUUGGAAACGAUGGCUAAUACCGCAUAGGUUGAGUAAGAUGGGAAUCUUAGUCAACAAAGCUUUAGUGCUUUGAGAGGGGCCUACGGCCGAUUAGUUAGUUGGUGGGGUAAAGGCCUACCAAGGCGAUGAUCGGUAGCUGGUCUGAGAGGACGAUCAGCCACACGGGAACUGAGACUCGGUCCCGACUCCUACGGGGGGCAGCAGUGAGGAAUAUUCGGCAAUGGGGGGAACCCUGACCGAGCAACGCCGUUUUUUUUUAUGACGGUUUUCGGAUUGUAAACUCCUUUUCUGCGGGAAGAGGCAGGACGGUACCGCAGGAAUAAGUCACGGCUAACUACGUGCCAGCAGCCGCGGUA